RNAcentral lists this unclassified non-coding RNA (241 nucleotides) under plant metagenome. RNAcentral's name for it is "partial contains small subunit ribosomal RNA, internal transcribed spacer 1, and 5.8S ribosomal RNA". The record is from RNAcentral.
UUUCCGUAGGUGAACCUGCGGAAGGAUCAUUAAAGAGUAAGGGUCUUCGGGCCCGAUCUCCAACCCUUUGUUUAACUACCAUGUUGCUUUGGCGGGCCCGUCUCACGACCGCCGGAAGUUUGGCUUCGACCAAACUUCUGGCCCGUGCCCGUCAGUGGCCCCUUCAAAUUCUUGAUCAAGUAUGAUGUCUUAGUUAAAAACUUAAUAGUUAAAACUUUUAACAACGGAUCUCUUGGCUCUA